GAAAAAAACCCACAAAUUUCACCCCAAGUACCAACAGCCACUCACGAGACUUACAAACACAAUCUUCCAUCUCCCCGGUGCCCUAACCUGUCUUCCAUCUCUCUCUCACGUCCACAGUCCCACGGCUCUGCCUUUCUCAUUUUCUCACCAAAUCGCCAACGCCGGUCGUCGAUUUUCCACGGUCAGGGGUCGUCGGUAAGUCCUCUUUUCUCUCUCUUAAUUCCUAGCUAUUUUCUGCAUCGUUUUAUUGUUAAAUAAUGUUGACAAUCUGUAUUUUUAUGGUUAAAUAAUGCCGUCUUAUACUGUUCUUCAUCUUUGCUUGGACCAGCAAAAAAAUUCCCUCCGUUUGUGUAGAAGAGAUUGUUGUACAAAGAGUAAAAUCAACUGCAUUUAUUGGAAACUUUCUUUCGUUUUCUCAAACAGAAUAACAUCAAUUCCCUUGUCCCACACUCUACACUUGAUCCAGUAAGCAAAAACUCACAAAAACAAGUUGAAUUUUCAGUUAUUGAUCUUGGAAUCCAUAUUGUACAGUUUGAGGAUCCAAAAGAAAGGAGGUGUAUAGCAGGGGACAAGAUAAUUGAGAAGCUGAUAGAAGUAAGAUCCUCAGAGCUAGUGAAAAUUAGUGCAAUUAUCAGAGUCUGAUAUCAAGCAGCUUUGUGUUGCUUCUCGUGAAAUUUUGUUAGUCAACCCAAUCUUCUUGAACUUGAAGAACCCAUCAAGAUUUGUGGUAUUUUUCUUGAAUCGUAUGUAAAUUUUUCUCUAUAAAAUUAUUAUAUUCCCAAAAAGCUAAUCUGCUGAGGGUACUUGCAAGGCUGUUGCCAUAGAUUUCUUGAAUUGUAUGUAGAAUUCUUUGCCUGUCCUUAAGAUUGAUGACUUUUAUGACGCUAAGGAGGAUUAAAAAAGGAAAAAUAUUGUAUUUUAUUUUAUGGAAGGAUUUCAUGACAUUUUGGCUUAGCCUUUUGUUUUUUCUUGUGUUAAUAUGCUGCUAAUAAUUUGUUCUCUACAUUUUAUUACCUUUUUACUGCCAAUAUUGUUUCAACCAUUUAAUAAUAUGUUGAACAUGUGCACUUCCCAUCAUUCAUGGCCCUUAUUUUGAUUUAUAUUAUGUGUACUUAGAAUCUUGUUAUGGAAUAAUCUUUAUUGGACAGAUUCUAAACAUUAAAGUUUCCUCUACCUAGGCCUUGAUCUAGUAGGAUAACUGUUUUAAGCCUGUAAAUAUUUAUGUAAUUUAUUUAUUUGAAUGGACUUGAUCUUUGAGACUACUGGAGAUUGUAUAGUGGGAUUUGCCCAACCCAUGUGAGAGUGUUCUUGCUUCUUUCCUCUCAUUUACUUCUUCUUCUUCUCCUUCUCUCAUUAGAUUUAACUGUUCUGUAGUAUUUAAAACCAGCCCAAAAUCAUUCAUUCUUUGUCUCUUUAAUAAGUCAAAUCUUCAUCCAUCCAUUGCCUUGCUUAUUUCGCUUGGAACCUAAAUUUUUCUUCCUGUUCUCAUCUGAAAUUGGUUAAAAUCAGCCCGACUCUCUUCUCUCUAAAAUUAUCCUAUUAGAACCAAAUUUUGAUUUAGAUCACAAGAGAAUUAGGCACGAAAGAUUAUCCUGCAUGGACCUAUUGAAAGAUUGAUAACUCUAUUUAUAGAUCGGCAAAUGUUUGUUGGAGAAGGGACUCGCUAGAAAUGAAAACAUCUCAUAAAUUUGUGUGUGUGUGGGGGUUGGAGCAGGGGGAUCUACCAAUUCCUCUUCUAAAUUGAAAUCCUUGCCUUCUAGUUUUGAAGCUGCCCAUGAUAUUAUAGAACAAUUUAAUAUUGAAGAAUCAUAAGAUCAGAAAAAAGAGCAUAAGUUAACAUUGUUCAAGAGCAAGAAGACCAUGAAGAGGUGCCAACUUGAGUUCAACGCUCAUCAUUUUAGAUUAUACUUUGGUGGUUUUCUAACAGUCGAUUUGUUUUAGAAGCGUUACGAUCUUGUAGUUACAACAUAUAUCAGAAACGUCGUCUUAAUAUUAAUUAAUUUACAAUAUUUUUGCUCUUCAAUCAACUGUUGAGGAGAAAGCUUCGAAGGAAUUCUUAUUGUAAGACUAUUUUAUUACACGGUAUUGCAGAAUUUCCAGCAACUCAAAAUUUUUUGAAUAUUGCAGUGUUGUUGGAGAGUAGCUUUGCCUAUAAUGGACAAAGAGUGGCUGCACUUUUCAAUGUUAUCAUCUGAAAUUAGAUCUUUUGAAUCUAGUUACGUAAUGAAAACAAUUUAAAUGUAAACUGAUCAUAAAGGUUUACUUGUAGAUUUUCAAGACAAUAUAGCGAUGGGGUACAAAAUUUUGUUGAACGAGCUCGUGAAAAUUGCAAUUCAAAAUGAUAGCAUGUCCUUAUGUUAAGUGUAAGAGUCUAAUCAUCAUCAUUAUCAUAAAGUUUAUGAACAUUUGGUUAUUAAAGGUAUGGAUCCUACACAUUCUGUUUGGGUAUUCCAUGGAGAGCAACCAAGUGCAUCAAAUUUGGUCGGUGUGAAAAUGCCUGAGUCGAGUAGGAUGUUUAAGGAUUUCUACGCACAACAUGAUGUAGAUCCUGAAAAUCAUCCUGAUGGAAGAGACUAAGAGAUUGAAAGUUUAGUUGAUAAUGCUGAAACUUUUUUAUAUCUUGGUUGUAGGGCAUUUACAAAGAUAUCAGCUUCGGUUGCACUGUUUAAGCAUAAAGCUUCACAUGGUUUAUCAGACAAUAGUUUCGAUAAACUUGUAAAUCUUGUUCUAGACAUGCUGCCAGAGAAUAAUACACUUCCAAACUCAUUUUACGAGAUGAAAAAACUUUUCAAUGCAUUUGAUUUUGGCUAUAAAAAGAUACAUGCUUGCCCAAAUGAUUAUUGUCAAUAUAGAAAGGAACUUGAGCAUGCUGAAUUAUGUCUAAAAUGUGAUAGCUCGAGAUGAAAAAUCAACCAACGGACUAAAAAAAUUCUGAAAAACAUCCCAACAAAAGUCUUGCGUUAUUUUCCUAUAAUACCAAGACUUAAGAGGAUGUUUGAAAUAUAUGAGAUGUCAACACAUCUUAGAUGGCACUCAACUAAUAAAAGUUCAGACGGUAAGAUUAGGUAUUGGGUUGAUUCAUUGAGUUGGGAAAUGAUUAACCAAAGGUCGCCACAUUUUGCACCUGAUCCUCGAAAUAUUAGAUUAGGUCUUGCUACUGAUGGAUUUAAUCCUUACAAAGAUUUUAGCUCUAAAUAAAUGUUCAGAGACCAGCAGAAAUUGUUAAUUCUGUGCAUAGACUUAAUGUAACUUUGAUUGUGACUGUAUAAUAUUUAUUUGGAAUUAUGUUUGUAUCUCAGUCCUUGGACAUGAAAGUGGUAGAUUGUUCAUCCAGUUCAUAUAUUUUAUGUUAUCUGUAGUUAAUUAAUGUAAUUGACACCAGAAAUAUUCGUUCUUUCUUAUUUCUUUAAUUGUUAUUGAUUAGUUGUUUUCACUAUAAGCAGCAUCUAUUGAGAAAAGGGAUGCGUGUUUGUGCUUUUUCAUGUAUAACUUACAUGCACGUGUAUUUUGGUGGUACAUGUUUUGGAGACUCUUAAGUAACAAGCAGAUGAAGCACAAGAAGAAGAAAUCAAAAUAAAGCGUGAAGCCACUUGGAAGCAUUUAGAAGAUAUUACUGUUGUGAAAGUUUCAAGUAAAAAACCAGUGCUCGUACCUUACAGGAUAAGCACAACCCAUUGUCUGGCUAGAAACUGUGGGACCUUUGAUCGACUUAUUAUUAUCUCAACUUGCUCAUUUUAGUGCUAACUAAGAAUACAUAGAGUGGGAUUGGGGAUACUAUGAAACUGGAAUUUGAUACUUUGUAGUGCUGACUAAGAAUACUAGCUCAUAUUCUUGAGCUUUUAGUUUUUGCCCAUCAGUGGAACAAGGUGAAGGUCCUUGGCUCCCUACCAUGUUUGGAUUUUAAGACUAUGGUUGUACAUAUAUAAUUGGGUGACAAAGAACUGGAAGUUGAAGGUUUGCAUUGCACUAUUACGUUGAAGGAAUUUGGUACUGAUCUUGGCCUUUCUUGUUAGGUCAUAUUGAUAAUUUCAUUUUGGCCGAAGAACUAUGAACUGGGUUGUGCUUUUCCUAAUUAUAUUUUGGUGGUACAUGUUUUGGAAACUCUUAAUAUUAUUUUGGAGAAGUGAAUGUGUUGAAUAUUUUAUAAAUUUAUUAUGUGAAUUGUUAGUUUAUUAUUCGACUUGUU
This 4186-nucleotide long non-coding RNA is filed under the name Olea europaea subsp. europaea. The record is from RNAcentral. Lineage: Eukaryota; Viridiplantae; Streptophyta; Magnoliopsida; Lamiales; Oleaceae.